CACAGGGAAUUAGCAUGGAAAUAAAGUGAAAAGUCGGACACAGCCAGGUAUGUACCUGUCUAUGCAAAAGCACACAUCGGUGCUUGAUAAUCUUGAACUGAUCCUCCAAAUCAGCUGUCCAUCCUGUCCUCCCUACUCUGUCCCUGUACCCAGGAGGCUGAUCUCUGAAGUCAACACCCAUGGGCUACCUCGCCCCCAACUUGGUUAGUUUUACUGGCAGGAAACCAAAGAGAGGUCAGGUAAGAUAUCCGCAUGAGAGAGUCAGAGGUUUUAAGGAAUUGCCUUUGGCCACUGUGGGGGCUGCAAGCCUGAGAUCUGCAGUGCAGGUUGCACACCGGUGAUAGUUGGUGUGACCUUCAGUAAGAAAACAGUCUGAGGCCAAACUCUGUCCUCCUCGGAGGAAUCUCUGUUUUUUUCCUAUUGAGGCUUCAAAUUGACUGGAAGAGACCCGCCCACGUUAUGGAGGUUAAUCUGCUUUACUUAAGGUCUGCUGAUUUAAAUAUUAAUCACAUCUUAAAAAUAUCUUCACAGCGACAUCAAGACUGGUGUUUGAUCAAAAUCUGGUUUUGAGGCCCAGCCAAGUUGGCUCAUAAAGUUAACCAUCACAAAUAUUUAUUGCCCCUGCUUCUUCCCUAUCAGGUGCAAAUUGGUACUGAAUGCCUCCUUGGGGGGCCCUGACCAGCUGUCCUCUUGGUCUUCAGGCACAGGCCUGGAAGCAGUGAUCUAUUGUUGCUAGCUCCUGGCUGCUUCCUUAAUCCUUGUGCUUCUGUCAACCCUGACUACAGCUUUGUAAACAGUUCCUUCAUUGGACACUCUUCAAUUAUCCCACUCUGGUAUUUUAUUUCUUUCCUAUAAGCAUCCCAUCAAUGAAUCUGUGCCACCUUAGAGUUGAUAAUCAAAAAAAAAAAAAAAGAGUCAGCAUGGAGGCACACGCCUCUAACCCCAGCAGCUCAGGUGGCCAAGGCAGGAGGAUCACAAGUUUGAGGCCAGCCUCAGCAAUGUAGCAAGGAUCUAAACAACUCAGUGAGACCUUGUCUCUAAAUAAAAUAUUUUGAAAAGGGCUGGGAAUGUGGCUCAGUGGUUAAGUGUCCCUGGAUUCAAUCACUGGUACCAAAAUAAAUAAAUAAAUAGAUAAAUAGAAACUCAAGUCUCCAGACAAUUUAUAAGCUCAAGAAAUGGCAUCCAUGAUUUCAGAGAUGUUAUUGGUCAUCUCUGUCAUCUCAGGAGUUUUCGAAUACUAUCUCUCUGCCUGGGACAAUAUAUUUGGCUUCUUACAUACCCAGCUCUACCAUUCUCUGAACCCCAAGGACUGAUUAGCAUUUUCCCAUCUGCCCUCCGUAGUAGUCCCCUCUGAAGGGUUCACCAGAUGGGUAAAAUCUGGUCAUCACUACCGUCCAGCACAAUUCCUAGCAACAUUCUUCCUGAGGGCGAGACCCAGCUUGUUCACCUCAUUAUCCUCCUCAUUAUCCCUAGUACUCCGCCCAGUGCCAGCCCUCACUACUAAUAAUAGUAACAACUAUCAUAUUUAUAGCUAAGGUACUAAUCUGGGUAGCUUAGAACAACAGAAACUUGUCACAAAGUUCUGAAGUUAAACAAAAUCCAGGUGUUGGCAGGGCCACCUCCCUUCUGAAACCCCUUAGGGAAUCCUUCCUAGCUUUUGGUGGUAUUGUUAAUACUAGGUAUUCCUUGGUCUGCAGUGUGUGAUUGCAAUCUCUUCCUGUGUCUUGCGUGGCCUUCUCCCUGUGAGUCUGUAUCUUCACAUGGCAUUUUCCUCUUAACAGGUGCACCUGUCAUGUUGGCUUACAACCUUCCCUGAUAGCCUUCUUUUAACUUGAUUACAUCUACCAAUAAGGUCAUUUUCACAGGUACAAAGAGGACUUCAGCAUAACCUCUUAGAGGUCAUAAUUUAAUCCAUUACAUUGAGAGCUGAGUGUGGGCAGGCACUAUUCUCAGUGUUUCCCAUCCAUUAAUUCCUUUACAUAAUGCCCUUGUAAGAUAAGCACAAUUACCCUGCCCAGGGUUGGAAUUUAGGCAAAGAGAAGUGUUGCCCCAAGUUUAAAUUGUACAAACUUGAUAAGUAGAGGAGGCAGAACGCUCCUUCCCAUCCUUCUUAUUUCCUUCUCCUUUUCCUUUAUGAAUAAUUUUAAAGCUAAAUUUUAGGAAUUACAUAGAUAGUGCUCCUCGAACUUUAAUGUGCCUAUGAAUACUGGGAUCUUAUACCAGUACAGACUCUACCUCAGUUGGUCUGAGAUUCCAUCUUCCUAACCAGCUAUGGGGGCCCACUGCUGCUUCUGGUCUAUAGACAUACUUUGAUUGGCAAGACCACUUGGUCUCUAAGGACUAGUCAUAUCAGAAUCAUUUAGGGGUAUUUUUUUUGGAGGGGGAUACCAGGGAUCAAACUCAGGGGCAUUCAACCACUGAGCCACAUUCCCAACCCUUUUUGAUAUUUUAUUUAGAGACAGGGUCUCACUGAGUUGCUUAGCACCUCGCUUUUGCUGAGGCUGGCUUUGAAUGUGUCAUCCUCCUGCCUCAUCCACCCAAGCCACUGGUCAUUUAGGGGUAUUUUUUUAACUAUUAAUUUUCCAGAACUCUUUUUUUUAAAGAGAGAGAGAGAGAGAGAGAGAGAGAGAGAGAGAGAGAGAGAGAGAAUUUUUUAAAUAUUUAUUUUCUAGUUUUCGGCAGACACAACAUCUUUCUUUUAUGUGGUGCUGAGGAUCGAACCCUGGAGGCACGCAUGCCAGGCGAGCGCGCUACCGCUUGAGCCACAUCCCCAGCCCCUUUCCAGAACUCUUUUAAACCUAUUGACAGAUUCUCAGAGGAGAAUGAGAAUCUGUAUUUUAAGGGAAGGGAUUCUGAAGGGCAUUCAAGUUUUCAGACUACUGACCUAGGAAAACUAUAUGUUGAUUGGAAUUGGCCUGUUAUAAUGUCUUUUCCUAUUAGAGCAUUUUUAUUAAGUGAUGGCAAUUAGAACAUUUAGAAUUAAUUGGGUAACUCUAUUUAAAAAAAGUCAACUGAGAGGCAGUCCCUUAAGUGGGUGGUCUGACCCUGUCCUGGGCAAGAUUACAUGUGUUGACAUAAAAAAUUGUACACUUAUCAAAGUUGUAGAUGGUAAAUGGCUGGGCAAGAAAAUUAAUGUGAUUGCUAAAAGAAAGCCAAAGUUUUUUUUAUGUAAAUUUUAAAAUUUAAUUAUGACAUCAGAAUGUGUUACAAUUCUUAUUACAUAUAUGGAGCACAAUUUUUCAUAUCUCUGGUUGUAUGUAUAGUGUAUUCACACCAAUUUGUGUCUUCAUACAUGUACUUUAGAUAGGUGGCAUAUAUACACAAUGGAAUUUUACUCAGCAAUAAAAGAGAAUAAAAUCAUGGCAUUUACAGGUAAAUGGGUGGAGUUAGAGAAGAUAAUACUAAGUGAAGUUAGCCAAUCCCAAGAAAACCAUCCAAAGUUUAAAAGAGGCUCAGUAGGCUACAGCAUACUCUGAAAGCAGUAGCUUUAGGAGUAAUCAUAGUAAGCUAUAGUCUUACAUCAGGUUUAGAAAAUGAAUGUAGAAGCAAAUGAUGGUGAAAACCUGACUUGAAAUUAUUGAUGUAAAAAGAAUCUAGAGAGUUUAGUUGAUCACUAACUCAUUAUAAACCAACAGUAGAAUGCAAUUACCAUUCUGUGUCUUCAGAACAAGGGGGUGGCAAUCUCAACUUUUCUACCUGGUGAGAGCAGGGCAGGUAUAUCAUGUUUACUUUGAGAUGCCAUGUAUUAGGAGUGGCAUUGGAUUGUGCCUUGUGGAGAAAGAUCAGACUGGUGGGGAAAUUGUAAUUCACUGCCCCCAGAAACAGGAUGGAAGAAAUUGAUACUACUUUGGAAGAGAGAAGUCAAAAUACUACUAGAUCCAGGCAAGGUGGCUCAUGCCUGUAAUCCCAGUGGCUCAGGAGGCUGAGAAUUGCAAGUUCAAAGCCAGCGUCAGCAACUUAGCCAGGCCUAAGCAACUUAGUGAGGCCCUGUCUCAAAAUACAAAAUAAAAAAAGGGCUGGGGAUGUGGCUCAAUGGUUAAACACCCCUGGGUUUAAUUCCCAGUACCUCCCUCCAAAAAAAAAAAAAAACCCUGAAAAUUUGGGAACUAAGUGUCUACAGACAAUGACCUCUUUCUAAGUGGGCUCAAAGAAGCAGAAGCAGGAUAGGUGGCUGGAAAUUGCAAGGAGACAAUGUUUAAGUCAGCAUUCAUAGAAGAAUGUUCUAAGGCUCUAUCUGACUGAAGUGGAAGGAGACAUUUGAGGAAGGAUUCGUUUCUGUGUCCCUCUAGGUGUGUUAGGAGCUGUGCUAUAGAAAGGAGUCUUUUCACUUUGGAGGCUGGGCCAGCUGUGCUCUUACACAUGCCCAGAUGAAAAGCAUUGGUUAUCCCAAUAAUGUGUAGGAAAUGACCUACUUAUGUGUUACCAAGUAGGUCAUCUCCCAGAGGGGUUUUCCUUUCCUCUUUCUUAAAAACAGAAAAAAUUAUGGGCACCCUUCAAAUCCUUAUUGAAGGUAGUUUGAUAUUGCUGAAAAUAAUAUUUUGGCAUAAUAAGAAUUUUCAUUAUUUCAUUCAUUUUAUUCAAUAUAUGUUUAUUGAGCACCUAGUAUCGACAAUAAUUUGUAGAGAUAGUAGCUAACACAUAUUUAUAGAGAAGCAAACUGAGUCACAGUGACAUUAAGAGAUCUCAGAGAGGGACAGAGGCAGGAUUUGAACCUGACAGCCUUGCUCUAGGAUUGUUGCUCCUCUCUCUCUCUCUCUCUCUCUCUCUCUCUCUCUCUCUCUCUCUCUCUCAUAUUGUUGGUUGAACCCAGGGGCACUCUACCAUGGAGCUACAUCCCCAAUUCUAUAUAUAUAUAUAUAUAUAUAUAUAUAUAUGUAUUUUUUUUUGAGACUGGGUCUCACUAAGUUGCUGAGGGGCUCAUUAAGUUGCUGAGGCUGCUCAAACUUAGGAUCCUCCUGCCUCAGCCUCCUGAGUUGCUGGGAUUACAGCCAUGUACCUCUGUGCCCAGCUAGGGUUGUCAUUCUUAACAACUAUAUCAACUCUCUGUUUCAUGCAAUAUAGUCUCAGAGCUGACUAUCCACUAACUGGGAGAUCAAACUCGCACGUGACUGAGUUAACUUCCUGCUGGGAUAUGGCGUUAGGUACCCAUGCUGCUAGACUGCCCCGCUCUUCUGGGGUUCGAGUACUGGUGACUGUCUUCACGCCAGGGCGUGUCUUCCUACAGCCCCAUGGGUGGAGCUAUGCUCACCUGUUCCUUUGUAAUAUUACCCUUUGCCCUGUUUAGGAUAGAAUGUUCAAUGGAAGUGCCUUGUGUGUGUCCCCUUCUCUUACUGUGGCCUUGGGUGUGGCCUACCCAGGUGUCAGUCAACCUGCUGACAGUGGAUAUCACGAAGAUAGACUCAGCCCCCUGAAACCUGACCCCUUGCCUCAUUUGAAUAGCUUCUUCUCAAUAAAAGGGGUCAGCGCAUGUGCGCGCUCUCUCUCUCUCUCUCUCUCUCUCUCUCUUUCUGUGGACCCUUAAGGUCAGAGGAGCUGUCACAGUGACCCCAAAGAAAAAGGUAUUUGUGUCUCUUGUGUGUUAUUUUGUGCAGCCCAGUUAGCCCAGUUCAACUGGAGUGACCCCUGAGCCUUUUAGUCGCGAACAGAAACUUGGCAACUAACCAUAAUGCCUACAACCUCACAAUACUUUAUAGGGCCCAUAAAAAUGUCUGAUUUCUUUUAAAUCAGGAGAAAGAGAAAUGAGCUUAGAGUUAAGAGAAUGUUUUUUGCUUUUUCUCACACCAGAAAAAAAUGUAAAACCAUUAUGGUGAGAGAGGCUGUGAAGGAAAAGUGCACCCAUGAAAGUCAAUAUGUGGCCAGAGCAGCUCAUACAGGGAAUUUUGAAACGUGAUUUUCGGGAAAGGUAGUAUUUUAACUGGGCUAGUGCUCUUCCAACCUUUGAAGUGGUACAAAGGAAAAGGGAUUGAUGGACAGGUCACUCCACGUGCAGGUAAGGGGCCCGGAGAUAGGGCAGUAUUAAUCCAGUGGUGUGAGUGGGGCAAGUCAGACAUGACCUACUUAAAUUGCUUACUGGACAUCUAGAGAGCAGUGAGGGAAAGCAGUUUGAAUUAGGGCAAAAGAGCCCAGAGUCCAUUUUGUCCUGGAAGAGACCAUCUUGUCCCAAAAGGGAAAUGAUUGCUGGGGAGGCGGGUGCACGGAGCCUGGGAGGUGUGCUAGAGAAGAGGAAUCCUUGUCUUCUCUGAUCUUUUGAGUUGUUAACCUCUAGACAGCGUUCACACUCUCAGUGCUAUGCUCUAGGGCCUUUUAUGUCUGUAAAUUCUCCUCCUAGGAUAUUCUGUCACUGAGCAAAUCAAAUUUCCUGAGCUGGUCUCCUUCCUUACCUGUAUUUCCAUUUCCCAGAUGUGUUUUAUCUCUGCAUUACCAGGAGAGUAACUCCCCCUCUUCUUACUUACCAGCCCAGGGUGAAUGUUAUUUCCUGACAAGCAGUUUAGAUGCCAAAAUAGUGCUGGGGACUAAAACACAACAAAAACCCACAACUAUUUUUUUAACAGUCUUAUUAAGAUAAAAUUGAGCUUAAAUUAGCUAUAAUUCAUCCAUUUAAAGUGUAUAUCAGGUGGUUUACAUCAAAAGAUUUUCCCUGGCCCUGAAUUUUUCCAGGGUAUCUUUGCUUAUAGAUAAGGAGUAUUUCCCGCAAGGGAUGGGAAGGGGAGAUCAACUAAACUUCUACUAAAUAGGAUAGAAUUUGUGUACUUAUAGACAGGAAUUAUGUUGUAUUUUAGUCCGUUGCCUACAAACUACAAAGUUGUUAAAACUGCUUCCCUAGAUUCAGAAUCAGACAGCUCAAAGGGGUGUCUUUUAGAGUCUAGAAUAUACCCUUGGCACACUUUGAUUCUUUAUCAGCCUUUCCUUGUAAUAUUUGAUGAUGAUGAUGGUGAUAAUGGUGGUGAUAGCUGAGUGACUACUCUGUAUAGGUACUGAGGCAGGAUUAGGGACCCUUGUCACCUCUCAUGUCACCUCUAUCAGUAGAAGUGAUGUGAGGCUAAGAAUUUCCCUUUCAUCCUACACUGUUGCAGUUACUGGAAGAACUAACUUCCCCUAAAAACAAGAUCCUGUUUUUCAAAAAGAUUGUGGACCAUCCCUAGGAACGUGUAUAAAGACUCUCAAGUUUGACCUGUAGUAACCUAGAAGGGAAAAUCUCCUACUUAAUACCUCAUACGUAUUAGUUGCAUCUCAUAUAUCUAAUGUAAAACCCAGGAAAGAGCAUUUGGCACAUGCACCACAGGCAUUAUGGGCAAGGCACAGGAAUCUGUUGACCAUCCUUCAUUUAGCAUAACCCACCUAGCAAAAAGCCUGCCAAAGGAGAACUAAGAACUCAGAAACAUAUCUAAGCCCAGACCCCUUCUGAGUUUGAGGGCAGAUGUCUUUGUUAUGUCCCUGCUGCCAGGAUGCAGCAUAGUUUCCUCCAAUGAACUCUCUUAACUGCUUCCCUUUGUCUUGGAGAAUUCUUCCUACCACCUGUGCACUGGCCAUCACCCAAGUCCCAUGACAAGUCCCUAAAUGCUUUAAAAAACAUUUUAUUUAAUACUUGCAAGAACUUUAUGAGGUACUUAUAAUCAUCCUCAUUUUACAGAUAAUAAAACUGUAAAGAGAGAAGAAAAGCAAAGAGAGAAAGCAAUAUGCCUAAGUCAGUUCAGCAGGUGGAACAGGAUUCAAAGCCAGGUAGGAUGCCAAAGUCCUUCUCUUUUUCAGAAGGCUAUCCUUGGAUCUGCUUGACUUUGGGCUCCUUUUGUCUCUCGAGGUGAGUCUGCCAUCAGUAGGUCCAACUUUAGGCAAGAUCAAGACUUACAGGAUAUUCAACAACCCUGAGUCCCACUGUUUCCAGUCUUUUGUGCCAGUUUUGGCAACUGGGCUCCUGUCAAUGAUCAUGUCAUUGCCUAGUCCCCACUUCCAGGCAAGGCAUCAUAUUUAGUUGCUACUGUCCUUGACCCACCUAUACCUCUAUUCCUGCAUCAGGUAUAUCAGCUCUUCCAGAACUAAGAUUGCUCAUUUUUUCCAUUCUCAAUUUUUCAGGAACUCAAGUUUUGUCCAUUUACCUCUUCCUGGAUUCUGAGUUUGCCUGCUGACCUGGGCUUCCUCAUUUUAUGUAGUACCUGUGAGUGUAUUUCUCCCAGAUUUAGCCUUCCUCCUUCCAAAACAGCCCUUCUUCUUAGACUCUCAUCUCUUGUGUUAAAAUUAAAAUGUAGAUAUUUCUAAUUUGCUACCUUUCUCUCCUUGAAAACAUAGUAAUACCAUGGUAUUAAAAACAAACACCAUGCUUGAGUAUCUGCUUGCCCCUUCUCCCCACUUGGUACCAGCCAAAGACUUGAAGGGAGAGAAGGGGGAAGGGGCGGAGACAAUACUACCCUUUAUCCUCUUGUUGUCCAUUUCUACCUCUCCUCAACAGGAGGCCCCACUUGUCACCCACUCUCAGCUCCAUUGUCCUCAGGGCCACCACACACUACAGAAAGAAAUGGUUAUUGGCAUCCAAAAGACAAGCAGGAAAAUAAUUUCAGCUUCUAUGCAACCACAGGGCUAGAGCUUAGGAGAUAAAUCUUGGAAUUUUCUCAGUUCUGGAAACUUCUUUUGGGCCAACUGAAGCUAGACCAACUUUUCCAACCUCAGGCCCACUCUUGCCAGUAGAUUAAAAAUCACUUUAAUUCCUAACUACCUCUCAGUUCAUAAGUAGAACUCUCUUUUGUAGGCCAGAACAAUAAGGAAACCAGAUCUUUGUCAGGAAAGAUAGCUUCCAGCAAAUUCUUCAUACCUUUCCAGCAGAGCUAAAUGGCUAUUUCUCUGUAACAUUUUUCUUGUCCCUCAGUUUAAAUGAUUCCUUUCUCCCUUCAUGUUUCAGAAAACUUUGUUGAAAAAACACUUUUCAAAGUUGGUUUUUAUCACUAAAUUGUGAGCUCCUGAUUUGACUGUUUUUGUUUCCCCAGUACAGUGUAAUCCAGAGGAAGAACUCAGGAGUGAAUGAACUUGGAAAGACAGAAGUUAGACUGGAAUUGGAAAAAAGACACAAUCAGUAGAGAUGUCAUUUAGACCCUGACACCAGUGUUUCUAUAAGAGUGAUGGAUUCUGAUACAAUACAGGGAAAUGAUCUUUGAAUAUGUGAUAGAAUUUUUAAAAAAUGUUUUGCAUGGGGCAGCCAACAGAUGGUCCAUAUCCUUGAGACUCAACUCUUGAUUUUGGGGGGUAGGGGGCAGUGGGUGCUAAGAAUUGAACCAGGGCCUUGUACAUGCUAAGCAUGCAUUCUACCGUGGAGUUACAGCCUCAAGCCUAUACGCAUGCGCACGCGCGCACACACACACACACACACACACACACACAAAUAUGUAUAUAUAUAGAACAUACACAUAUUUUUUAAAAUAAUUUUAUGGUUACAAAAAUAGACUUACUUUCCAUUCUAUAAAAGAGGAUGAUAAGUUCUAUUAUGUUUGUUAUAUACUUUCCUCAUAUUAGAAUUACUUCUUAUAUAUUAAGAAUUUUUAGGAGUAUUUCUUUAAGAAUUUAGGAGAUUAUGAUCAAAUAGCAUAUGUCUACCUACAUACUCAAUUUUAAUCUAUAUUACAAAUUGAUUUGAUUUUUUAAUUUGCACAAGGACUGAGAUAAGAGUUCACUUAUGGGCAGUAUCCUUCAAAGGGACAGUGUGGGUUGAAAAACCCCAAGGAGAACUUAAUUUUAAGCAAUUUUGGAUGCUCCCAGGUGCCCAGAAGCAAAUACAAAUGUUUCCUAGAGAAUGUGCCCUCAGGGGACAUUCACACAACUCUCACAGCACAACGUGGGCUCACAAUUUAAAGAAAAAAGAUAAUCAAGGAACACUUGAAGAAUACUACCAUGAAUAAGUGACAGCAGAAACACCAAAUGAUAAAAGCACCCCCAAAAAGACUUCAGAUGUUAGAAUCACUGGAUAAAACAUUUAAUAUGCUGACAGAGAUAAAAGUGAUGGCAAAAGAACAGGAAGGGGGCUGGGGUUGUGGCUCAGUGGUAGAGGGCUUGCCUAGCAUAUGUGAGGUACUGGGUUCAAUUCUCAGCACCACAUAUAAACAAAUAAAGUCCAUUGACAACUAUAUAUAUAUAUAUAUAUAUAUAUAUAUAUAUAUAUAUAUAUAUAUAUAUAUAAAAGAACAAGAGGGUAUAAAAAUGUCCAGUUUUGAGCAUGGGGUUAGAAAUGAUGGUAGAAUAAGAUGGACAUCAUUAUCCAAAGUACAUGUAUGAAGAUACAAAUGGUGUGAAUAUACUUUGUAUACAGAGAUAUGAAAAAUUAUGCUCUAUAAGUGUAAUAUGAAUUGUAAUGCAUUCUGCUGUCAUGUGUAACAAAUUAGAAUUUAAAAAAUAUCCAGUUUUGAAAAAGAAUCAAAUGGUACUUCUAAAGCUGAAAGAUAUUAAAGUUGAGAUAAAAAAGAACCCAAAUGGAAGCAUUAAAAAGCAGUAUAGCUCUGGUGCUAAAACCAGGAAGACCUAAAUGAAAGACUGUUCAUCCAGAGUUUGCUAUAUAGCAAGGAGUUGGCUGCCAUGGCUUGAGUUUGGUAGAGACAUUAAAGCAAGCAUGGGCAUGGAAAAGCUUUAUAGCGACCAAAAGUGAAGUUUCCAGCUGUCCUCUGACACCAGGAGUCAUUGGCUCGGGGAAGCUAGAGGUGGACUAGCUAGAAGUGAGCCUUAUAUGUAAUUGGUUCAGGGUGCACAUCUGGCCUUCUCUGCUUGGUCUGCUUAGUGCUCAGUGAGAAGCCAGAGUAAAAAAUGGGAACAUCGGUGGUCAGUGAGCAAGUCUUGAAAGUUUGGACAGAUUGCUGUGGAGGUUGCAGUUUGCCUUCCUGGGCUUCACACGUGGGUCAGAAUCCCAUUACCACAAGGGCUCUGGCCUUGCCUUUUGUGUAUUCAGUCUCUAUCUAGGCAGAGUUGGUUAACUGGAAAACUUAUCUGAAAAAAAAAAAUGACUCAGAAUGAAGCCCAGAGAGAUAAAUGUAUGUCUUAUCAUAUUUCUAGAAGAAAUAGAGAAGAGAAUGGGGAAUAUAAACUAUUCAUAGAUAUAAAGACUGAAGUUUUUUCAGGAAUGAAUGAUUCAGAUUUAAAACCUCAACAAGGCUGGCCACAGUAGUACAUGCGACUGAUCCCUGCUACUAGGGAGGCUGAGGCAGGAGGAUUGCAAGUUCAAGGCCAGCCUGGGUAACUUAUUGAUGAGGUUAGGUGGAAGAGAUAAGGCUAGGCAGAUAGGGAAAUGUGCCCCUGGGCAACUUCCUGGACAGUAGAGCACAAAUAACAGCUGUAAGUUUUUGCUGAGAAACUUACAAAAGGUUAUUUUUAAAUUGGGAUCUACGUGACCUGGAGUCCAUAGGAAUUCAGGACAUAGGUGACCUGGAGUCCAUGCCUCUCCAAAGAAGGAAGACACCUGAUCAAUACUUUGAUUAUCUAAAGGCUGUAUGAAUACCUUGUGAACACUGAGUGCUUGCCCAAUAUUGGGAAGGGAGCUGACUUUCUUAAGUCCAUAGAUCCAUAUAAACCCCUAGACAAUAGCCAUUCACUGGCAAUCUUCUCAGGUCCCCUUCCAAGGUGGGAGCUUUGCUUCACUUUGUUUCAAUACAUUCCUGUACUUUGCCUUUGCCCGCUGCUGGCGAAGAAUCUCAUUCUUUGAAUCUGCAAAAAAUCACCCAACCCCACACUCUGUGCUACAAUGAGACCCUGUCUCAAAAUAAAAUAUAAAAAGGGCUAGAAAUGUGGCUCAGUGGUAGAAUGCCCCUGGGUUCAAAAUAAGUCAGUAAAUAAAUAAAUUCCAAUCAACUGAAAUAAAUACGGAUAAAUACAAAUAAACAUUGCCUAUAGAAAAGAUAAAUUAAUGUGUCUUUUUUUUGAGGGGGGAAUGCUGGGUAUUGAAUUCAGGGUCUUUUGUAUAUAAGGCAAGUACUCUACCACUGAGCUACAUCCCAGAUGCUGAUGUAUCAUUUUAGGGGUAAAAAAAAAAGUAAAAAUAAAAGGUUGAACAAUAAUAAUACAUAACCCAGAGGAAGCUGUUUUGAGUCAGGUUUGCUAAAGUUCUCUUUAAAGAGAAAUAUGUUAUUCCAUUUAUACUUCAAGUGUGCAUAUUAAAUUCCAAGGGUAACCACCCAAAUGAUACAAAUGAAAUCUAUAUGCUCCAAACCCAUAAAGAUCAGAAAAAUGGAAUGAAAAAAAAAUUUAAUCCAAAAUAAGUCCAGAAAGAACAAAAAAAGCAAGGCCAAUUGAGCACAAAAAAAUAUGAAUAUAAAAUGGAAAAAAAAUAAACUCAAAUCAGUAAUUGCCAAAAAAGUCAAUGGUAUACACUUCUCAAUCAAAAGUCAUGGACACUUAGAAUGUAUUAAAAAACAAAAUCCUGAUAUGGUAUUUUCAAAAGGUGAAACUAAAACAGUAUCAUUCCCUUAUAAUAAACUUGACUGUUGUAUAAUGACUUUCAGUGGGUUCUCUGGGUCCUUCUAGUGAAAUUUUGAACCUGAGUCUAGUUUUGUGACACCCCGCCCCCACACACACUCUGACCUGCCACAAAGUUGCAAUUGAUGUCAGAAAC
Molecule: long non-coding RNA, 12574 nt
Filed under: Marmota monax (woodchuck)
Lineage: Eukaryota; Metazoa; Chordata; Mammalia; Rodentia; Sciuridae
Source: RNAcentral